Molecule: long non-coding RNA, 2436 nt
Organism: Tachysurus vachellii
Lineage: Eukaryota; Metazoa; Chordata; Actinopteri; Siluriformes; Bagridae
Exons: 5
Source: RefSeq, a predicted model, not a curated record
GCUUCCAAGAGGUGACACCCUCCUAGAUGUCUCAUAUGAACCUGUGAUCUAAAGGUAACUCUCUUAUAGGACUUUCUGAAACACAAUGAAGUGGCUUUUAAGUCCUGGCAUCACUGUGAUGGUUCACCUGCUGAUGCCACAGUGCCAAGCCUUCAUCAUCACAGAAUCGAUGGUGAAUGAAGCCCUGACCCUCCCGUGUAACUGCUCAGGAAAUUGUCCAGCGGUUUGGUGGAUCCGGCUUCAUUCCUGACAACGCUGUCAUUGUUCAGAGCUGGAAGUGUUCAAAACAAGAGCAUUUUAACAAAAGAUUUACACUACCAGGAGAUACAAGCAGAGGAAAUUUCUCCCUGAUGAUCAGUUCAGUAGUCUACAAUGAUGCAGGCUCUUACAACUGCAGCUGUAAUGAAAAAUUAGUGACUGAAGUAAAGCUGAAAGUUAUCAUUCCGACAGUUGUAAAGGCUUUCGAGGGGAAGAACGUCACUCUCCCGUGUUACGGAGACACUCGACAAGUCGUUAAAGAUGUAAAGUGGAAGAAAGAUGGACACGAGGUUCUGCUGUACACUCCUGCAAACAGAUGGAUGACUAAACAAAACAGAUUCACGAUGUCAGUAGAAGGCUUUCUAGACGGUGAUCUCUCUCUUCACAUCAGUCCAGUUCACCUGUCUGAUACAGGAUUAUAUCAGUGUCUCAUCCACGAUGAAUCUCAGGACGGAGAACCACGAGCUGUGUUACUGAAGGUAGAAGGGCAACAACAAUUCACAACCACCAACAGCGCUCCAGUUUCAGGAUGGUUUGCACUGCUCGUAUUGUUCAUAUCUGUAUGGAACAUUAUUAUGGGGUCACGGUGGCUUAGUGGUUAGCACGUUCGCCUCACACCUCCAAGGUUGGGGGUUCGAUUCCUGCCUCCGCCUUGUGUGUGUGGAGUUUGCAUGAUCUCCCCGUGCCUCAGGGGUUACAUCCGGGUACUCCGGUUUCCUCCCCUGGUCCAAAGACAUGCAUGGUAGGUUGAUUGGCAUCUCUGGAAAAUUGUCCGUAGUGUGUGAGUGCGUGAGUGAAUGAGAGUGUGUGUGUGCCCUGCGAUGGGUUUGCACUCCGUCCAGGGUGUAUCCUGCCUUGAUGCCCAAUGACGCCUGGCACAGGCUACCCGUGACCCGAGGUAGUUCGGAUAAGCGGUAGAAAAUGAGUGAGUGAGAGUGAGUGAGAUUACCUGAUCAUCUAUUAUUACAUGAGAAAAUGCAGAGACCAGAUUUAAUCUAAGACUGCAGGAUCUUUAGCUUUCCUGUACAUCACUGUUCUGUUGUCCUGUGUGUUCCUUUUAUUCUGUGUGUUUAUUGUCCUGUUCUCAUCUCACACUGUAUGCAAUCUUAUGUACUGUUACGUGUUACACCAUGAUACAUGGUAUUUUUGAUCUAUCAUGUACAAGCUAUAUAGCUGUGAUGUGUGAAGGGACUCGUGGCUGGUGAGGCACUGACUCUUUUAAAGUCAGAUUUACAAAUUUAUGAAUUUAACCGAGUAUCUUAAAUUCACCAUUCAGGUGGCUGCUUGCACAUUGAUUAAUGAUUAUUUAAUGUCUCCUGUUUUAACUUGAACUGACAUAUUAAAUGAAGAGGAAACACAACAGUAUUUAAACGUCUACACAAUGACUUAAUUAACAUUUACUUUAGUUUACUUGUAUUCAACGUCUUCUGAAAAAGAUUUUGAAAAUCUGGAGCCACCACAAGUGUUUUAUUUCCUUUGUUUUAAACCGUAUUUAAACAUACAGGUACUGUAUAAAGAUAUGCUUUUAUGAUGAUUAUUAGAGGUACAAAAGUGACAAGAUGUUCUGUACUAAGUCUAAGCCAAAAACUGCUGAUCAAAUUAUGAAUAUGUCGAAAUGUAGAGAACAUUUAUAUUUGUGUUACAGUAUAUGAUCAUAUUUGCCUGUUGUGUUAUAAGGGUUCAAAUAAUUCUGUUAUUAUAUCUAUAACACAGAUGCUGUUUACUCUCAUGGUGAUGUUUAUGAUAUAGACUGUGUGAUUGUCUUUAAUGAUUGUUUAUAAGAAUUUGUUUAAAAGUCAUAUUUAAAUUUAAAUAAUUUGAAUGUGUAUUUUAAUGAUAAUGAAAAUGAAAUGCUUUUUUUUUUUCAUUUUGCCUUGACUAAAUGAAAAUAUGGAGUAUAAAAUAUUAUUGAUUGUAUUAUGUUCAUUGUUGUGUUUGUUUAGUGCUGCCAGACUCCAGCAGUCACACAAAACAAAGAGGAAACACAAUUUAAAGGCAUUUUAAAUGUCUACACAACUCCUUAAUUAACAUUUACUUUAUUAUACUUUAUAAAACUUCUGAAAAAGGAUUUAAAAUGCUGGAGCCACCUGAAGAGGUUCAGAAAAGGUCUUUCAGAGGUCCUAAGAGACAAUUCUUUAACCAUUUCUUUUUCUCAUUAGUUGUAAGAAAUACAUUUUA